This 940-nucleotide ribosomal RNA is filed under the name Udotea flabellum. Its description in RNAcentral is "SSU rRNA". It matches the Rfam family "Eukaryotic small subunit ribosomal RNA", at positions 599 to 1548 of the family's 1831-position model. The record is from RNAcentral. Lineage: Eukaryota; Viridiplantae; Chlorophyta; Ulvophyceae; Bryopsidales; Halimedaceae.
GCGUAUAUGUAAAUUGUUGCGGUUGNAAAGCUCGUAGUUGGACUUCUGUCGGCCGCGUUCSGUCCGCCUUGAGUGAGUACUGUUCGCGGUCGGCGUUACUGUCGACGGUGCKCGUCGGACUUCACUGGCCGGUGCGCUCUCUGUCGGCGAUGUUACUUUGAGGAAAUCANAGUGCUCAAAGCAAGCGUUCGCUCGUGACUUCACUAGCAUGGAAUAACACAGAUGGGCUCUUUUUCGCAACGUUGGUCUGCGUCAACUGARCAACGAUCGAUARAGACGGUCGGGGGCAUUCKUAUUGCGCARUUAGAGGUGAAAUUCUCCGAUCUGCGCAAGACGCACUAAUGCKAAAGCAGUUGCCAAGGACGUCCUCUUAUGAUCAANAKCGAAAGUCGGGGGAUCAAAGAUGAUUAAAUACCGUCGUAGUCCCGACCAUAAAUGAUGCCAACUGASCGUCGGCGACUCGGCUGUUAGCCGGACGUCGGCGCUCUUGASAGAAAUUAAAGUCUUUGGGCUCCGGGGGUAGUAUGGUCGCAAGUCUGAAACUUGAAGGAAUUGACGGAAGGGCACCACAAGGCGUGGAUGUUGCGGCUUAAUUUGACUCAACACGGGAAAGCUUACUAGGUUUGGACACUUGAAUGAGGGACAUAUUGAAGCUCUUACCUUUUUUUGUGGAUGGUGGUGCAUGGUCGUUCUCAGCCCGUGGGUUGACCUGUCAGGUUUACUCCGGUAACGCGCGAGACCUCGGUUUGCUAWAUAGACGCGGCUGUCUCGGCACCCGCGCUCUUCUUAGAGAGAGACUCGACGCGAGUCGAGGKAAGUCGAGGCAAUAACAGAUCUGUGAUGCCCUUAGUUAUCCUAGGUCGCACGCGCCAUACAAUGUGGCGCACAACGAGUCUCCUUGGCCGACAGGAGCUCUCGGCGACGGCCGUCGCUUCGGUCC